AGAGGGGUUGGGGAGGAGCACGUCUGUGUGUGAAAGGCUGGGCCUGGCCUCGUUUGCCCUCCAGCUCCUUCCCCAGGGCUCCCCACCUCAUCACCCACUGGAGGCAGAUCUUCAGCAGGCUCCUUUGGAGGGCGAGCUUUGAGGUGUAAUCCCCACUCUUCACCUUGGUUCAUCCCUAAAACGGUUGUAGCCUCAGUGUCCUUGUAAGUACAAUGGGGAGAAGGACACCAAUGUUGCAGGACUGUUGAAGGGACAGUGGGAAGCACCUAGGGCCUGGCCUCCACACAGUAGCAGGAGGGAUGGAGGUGUCACAGCUGUGCCAGGCAGCAAGAGCUGCGCCCAGAGAGGCUGUGCCCUCAGGAAGCUGGAGGGCUGGAGGGUGGCAGAGGCCCACCACAAAGCUGUGGGGUAGGGGCGGGGAAAGGGCCAUCAGACCACAGAGCACAGUGGUCCGGGCUCAGAGAGGGGACGCUCCCCUUGUAGGAAAGACAAGAUUUCACCAGGGAGUGCACUCCAGGCCAUGGGCGGCCUAGCAAAACCAGGGAGGUGGAAGAUGUGGGACCUCCUGACAGCAAUAGCGGUCUGGUGUGGUGAGGAUCUGUGGGGGUCAGGCU
This 614-nucleotide long non-coding RNA is filed under the name Homo sapiens (human). Its description in RNAcentral is "HSALNT0189127". The record is from RNAcentral. Lineage: Eukaryota; Metazoa; Chordata; Mammalia; Primates; Hominidae.